RNAcentral lists this ribosomal RNA (413 nucleotides) under uncultured microorganism. Its description in RNAcentral is "bacterial SSU rRNA". It matches the Rfam family "Archaeal small subunit ribosomal RNA", at positions 330 to 745 of the family's 1478-position model. The record is from RNAcentral.
GUGCAGCAGGCGCGAAACCUUCGCAAUGCGGGAAACCGCGACGAGGGGACUCCCAGUGCCUACGCUCAGCGUAGGCUGUUCCCGAGCCUAGAAAGCUCGGGGAGUAAGGGCUGGGUAAGACGGGUGCCAGCCGCCGCGGUAAUACCCGCAGCCCGAGUGGUGGCCACUAUUAUUGGGCCUAAAGCGUCCGUAGCCGGCCCGGUAAAUGCCUGGGUAAAUCGUGAGGCCUAACCUCACGAAUUCCGGGUAGACUGCCGGGCUAGGGACCGGAGGAGGGAGAGGGUACUCCAGGGGUAGGGGUGAAAUCCUGUAAUCCCUGGAGGACCACCGGUGGCGAAGGCGCUCUCCUAGGACGGGUCCGACGGUGAGGGACGAAAGCCAGGGGAGCGAACCGGAUUAGAUACCCGCGUAGU